This 630-nucleotide ribosomal RNA is filed under the name uncultured Acidobacterium sp. RNAcentral's name for it is "bacterial SSU rRNA". It matches the Rfam family "Bacterial small subunit ribosomal RNA", at positions 154 to 763 of the family's 1533-position model. The record is from RNAcentral. Lineage: Bacteria; Pseudomonadati; Acidobacteriota; Terriglobia; Terriglobales; Acidobacteriaceae.
AAACUCGGGCUAAUACCGCAUCCUCUGGACGGUCCGUGGACUGUUCAGCAAAGCUGGCCUCUGCUUGCAAGCUAGCGCCUCGAGAGGAGCCCGCGCCUGAUUAGCUAGUUGGUGAGGUAACGGCUCACCAAGGCUGCGAUCAGUAGCCGGCCUGAGAGGGCGAUCGGCCACACUGGGACUGAGACACGGCCCAGACUCCUACGGGAGGCAGCAGUGGGGAAUAUUGGACAAUGGGCGCAAGCCUGAUCCAGCAACGCCGCGUGGAGGACGAAGGUCUUCGGAUCGUAAACUCCUGUCAGUUGGGACGAAAAGGCAGCGGCGAACAGUCGCUGUCCUUGACUGUACCAGCAGAGGAAGCCCCGGCUAACUCCGUGCCAGCAGCCGCGGUAAUACGGAGGGGGCUAGCGUUAUUCGGAAUUAUUGGGCGUAAAGGGCGCGUAGGCGGCUCUGCAAGUCAAAGGUGAAAUCCCUCGGCUCAACCGAGGAACUGCCCUUGAAACUGCAGGGCUCGAGGCCGGGAGGGGGUGGCGGAAUUCCCAGUGUAGCGGUGGAAUGCGUAGAUAUUGGGAGGAACACCAGUGGCGAAGGCGGCCACCUGGACCGGUUCUGACGCUGAGGCGCGAAAGCGUG